GCCCACAUAGCUCAGCAGGUAGAGCACUUCCAUGGUAAGGAAGAGGUCACCGGUUCAAUUCCGGUUGUGGGCU
This 73-nucleotide transfer RNA is filed under the name Gammaproteobacteria bacterium. Its description in RNAcentral is "tRNA-Thr". It matches the Rfam family "tRNA". From Rfam's summary of the family: Transfer RNA (tRNA) molecules are approximately 80 nucleotides in length. Their secondary structure includes four short double-helical elements and three loops (D, anti-codon, and T loops). RNAcentral also lists the same sequence under 4 other names. The record is from RNAcentral. Lineage: Bacteria; Pseudomonadati; Pseudomonadota; Gammaproteobacteria.